Non-coding RNA from Phrynosoma platyrhinos (Desert horned lizard), 71 nucleotides. Lineage: Eukaryota; Metazoa; Chordata; Lepidosauria; Squamata; Phrynosomatidae. The record is from the annotation of a GenBank genome assembly.
GCCAGCAUGGUAUAGCGGUUUGAGUGCUGAACUACGACUCUGGAAACCAGGGUUCGAUUCCCCAUUUGGCC